GGGAGAUGAAUCUAUUGUAUCAAGGUCUUUGCAUAAUUUAUACUCUUUCCGUUGGCUAAAGUAAGAAUGAACUAGUUUCACUCUGAAAAUGAAAGUAUUACCACAGUUAUCUACCUGGAUAUUAUCUGCACACUGCGCUGCUGGGCGGGCCUGGCUGAUAGCUGAGCAUUGUGACGCCUUUUGGUCAAACACAGUAAUCAGUUCAUGGUCUGAUUAAGUUGCAUAAAUAAGGGAAUAAAUACGUUAGUAGUUAAUAAAUAUCAAAAGUAAAUUCAUGCUAAAAACGGUUAAACUGUUUUGGAUUUGAAAUCUGACCAGAGUAAGACUUCUGUACUACAAACGAUCUUCGUUGUGUUGGACGCGCAGCAUCGGGAAGGAGCGAAGGAGCGGGGCCCCUGUGAACCUAUCUUUGGCCUAACUCCUCCGGUAAUGUUGUGAACAAGUGCUUCGGUGGAAGUGGGAGAGGAAACCGCUCAUGCACACGCUAAAAUUUCCGUGCGCGCAUGUGCCUUGGGAAACGUUCGUCUUUUUUCAAAGAAAAAGGCCUUAAACAGGAAAAAAAGAUUUAUAAAGAUCUUCAGUAAAAUCAAGAAAAGCCACACCAGGCUGGCUUUCACAGUCACUUGUUGUGAGGACAGUACGUGCACGUCUCCUUCCUUGUUUGACCAGCGCUGCCGAGUCACGUGACAGUACAACACCAAAACAAAAACAAACUGCUCUGAGGUGUGUCUUGUAAAAGCAGCGGCGCUUACAGCCGGAUCUCCUCUUAGAUGGCAUCGCAUCAGUGCACAGAAGGGAGAAAACGGGAACUGAAGUAUCGAUCUCAUUACUCUCGUACUGAUUAAUGUCAGUACAAGCGGUGGUAUCGAUAUUGCGAUAUACGGAUCGAUCCCCCACAACUACGCAGUUUCUUUAAGUCAUUGUGAUCUUCUACAGAAAUGUUGCUCAUAUCUGUUUUCCUUUGCUUUUCGGUGAUCUGGACUUCACUUUCAAAAGAUCCAGAUGAGGUGAUCACAGUGAAGCAGGA
Long non-coding RNA from Oreochromis aureus, 1027 nucleotides. NCBI's taxonomy places the organism in Eukaryota, Metazoa, Chordata, Actinopteri, Cichliformes, Cichlidae. The record is from Ensembl.